GACGAACGCUGGCGGCGUGCUUAACACAUGCAAGUCGAACGGAAAGGCCCUGCUUUUGUGGGGUGCUCGAGUGGCGAACGGGUGAGUAACACGUGAGUAACCUGCCCUUGACUUUGGGAUAACUUCAGGAAACUGGGGCUAAUACCGGAUAGGAGCUCCUGCUGCAUGGUGGGGGUUGGAAAGUUUCGGCGGUUGGGGAUGGACUCGCGGCCUAUCAGCUUGUUGGUGGGGUAGUGGCUUACCAAGGCUUUGACGGGUAGCCGGCCUGAGAGGGUGACCGGCCACAUUGGGACUGAGAUACGGCCCAGACUCCUACGGGAGGCAGCAGUGGGGAAUAUUGCACAAUGGGCGGAAGCCUGAUGCAGCAACGCCGCGUGCGGGAUGACGGCCUUCGGGUUGUAAACCGCUUUCGCCUGUGACGAAGCGUGAGUGACGGUAAUGGGUAAAGAAGCACCGGCUAACUACG
Molecule: ribosomal RNA, 466 nt
Filed under: uncultured bacterium
Lineage: Bacteria
Description: partial 16S ribosomal RNA
Rfam family: Bacterial small subunit ribosomal RNA
Source: RNAcentral